Molecule: ribosomal RNA, 97 nt
Filed under: uncultured bacterium
Lineage: Bacteria
Description: partial 16S ribosomal RNA
Rfam family: Bacterial small subunit ribosomal RNA
Source: RNAcentral
CACACCGCCCGUCACAUCAUGGGAGUUGGUUUCACCCGAAGGCACUGACUCAACCGCAAGGGGAGAAGUUUCUAAGGUGAGGCCGAUGGCUGGGAUG